UACAUACGUCUAGCUGCAUAACUGGUCGCGGUUAUUUGUGUACGUGUGCCCACUGCAAAUGUAUGUGGAGCGCGAGUGAAUUGAGAUAUUACAACAGUCAUCGAAUCAUUUUUAACGCGUGAUUCUUCGAAAACUCAUCGAUAACCGACAGUUCUAUUACGUUUCUGCGUUUUUCUUGUUUUCGUAGGCGCACCGUUGUGUACGAUGCUUUACAACACGUGUGUGGUAUCGACUUACAAUGGCUGCGGCAAGUAUUUGCACACUAUUGGCUCUAUCGUCAUAUUAAUUAUUUGACCGCGAAAGAUAUUAAAUUUCAUAUCAUUUAGUAGCGUUUUCACACAUUUGCAAAAAUUUAAUAUCGCGGAUAUCAUGACGUAGGAUCUGGUAAAAAAUACUUUAUUGGCAAAUAAAUAUGUGCUGAUACUUUUCGUAGCUACUGUAAAUGGUGGAACAUUUUACGGAACGUUCGCUAUGAUUUAUACGUAUCAUCUACGUAAAACUUUAUGACAUAGAAAAAAGCUUUGUUGUUGUUGGUGAAGAUCAAUUGUUAACAAUCGUAGACAAAUGUUAAUGAAAAGCUCUCGACAGUGUUAAUGAAUGUAAUAAUGAGUGUGAAUUGUCUUGUCUUCUACCAUUCGGUUAAUAAUAGUGUAGAAUGAUUAUCGAAUAAAAAUCGGUUUGUAGAAAGUAGAAAAGAUUGAUGAGAAUCCAGAAGAAAAUAUGCGAUUGGAAUGUAAAAGAAUACAAAAUUUCUCUGUCCAUUAUAGCAAUAACUACGCCUGCUACGUUUUUGCAAUAAAACAGCAAUUAUAAGUCAACUAUAAAUGAUUUAUUUCAUCGUCUAAGUGGAAAUAACAGAAGACAAACUGGAUUUAAAAGACAGCUAAGUUUCUUCAUUUUUGUAUUAUAAGACAUUAAAAUACAGAAAUAAUGACAAUUAUUGUAGUUGCCAGCGUAUGAAGAUGAGGGGAAUCCAUUUUACUUCUCUUCAAAUCCAUAUUACAGAUUACAAAUUUUGUACACUUGCAAAAAUACAUCGCAUUGAGUUUGAAGAAGAUAAAAUUAGAUAAUUUCUCCGAUAAAAUCAAUUGGUUCGUGCUAUCGAUUCUAAGAACAGCGGAUAAUUCGUAAAAAAACGAACUGAAUUCUUUAGAAUUCUGUAUAAGAGUAAAUAGGUAGCCGAGUGAACUCACUUACAUGCUUCAAAAAAAUAUUCGAAAUGUGUUCGGACGAACAAGAAUCGUAUCAGUCAUGGAGAAGUAAAUAUGUGCAAACGAGAGACGACAGCCGGAUGUCAGUGGUUUAUCUAAGGAACUGUUUGCGGAGCACGGAAGAAAGUCAAGGAAAAAUAAAGAUGUGAAAGAAGAAAAUAUUUCAUUUCAAAUUCCGAGUAUUUUCGUACAAGAGCCAUUCUUCAGAAAUAUAAGAGACAUCAUUUCUCAUAUCAUUCGUCACACGAAUGCCUUUCUAAGUCCAAAAUAUUAAUCGCUUAAACGAGUCAUAAUUAAUUCAGUUUUAUUCAAUUCCACACAACUUGUAAAAUCUGCGUUUGCCCGGUUUUCGUACCAAGGUCUGCAAAUUGUGCCAUUUAUUCCACUGUCUUCGCUAAAACUCUCUUCAGCCUGCUUGCACCUUGCCUUCUUCUAUUCUUUUCUAUUCUUUUCUUUUCCAGCUUCUCCACUCAUUCCAUGAUCCUUCUAUCCUGUCUUUUACUCGUCUUUUACUACGUCUUCCGACCUGACACGUCAUUUGGUUUCCUUAUAAUUGCCUGUUAAGUGAAUUAGAUCCUCGAAUUUAUCCUCCUCCUCCUUCUCCUCCUCCCAGUGCCUAUUUCAAUUUUCCAACUCUCCACACUAUGCUCGUGCUAUUAUCUUUUGACCUUCUCCUUAUUUUCUUAGGUAUUCUGGCAGCCCUAUUGUUCACACGUAUUGGUAUCUAUCAUCGCAUUGCUCUGACAUUUAUAAUACCUGAGUCUUAGACUUUAGUCGCUUUAUUACGUAUCGCAGAGUUUCCUUUAUAAUAUAGACGCAUAAGGGGUAACUGAAGAAGAAAAGAGGCGCAUGAGGCACUUUACUGUGAACACGAUACGGGGUGUCUUAAGGUAGUUGAUAAGCUCAGACAAGAAGUUAUUUGUAUACGUACGUAUGCUACAUAAAAAGAACAUUUCUGUUGAUUUAGGCCUGAGUUUUGAGAAAAUCGAGCUCGUGCAAUUAGCACAAUAAGCGAAGUGCCGGUGAUAGCUACCUCGAGCUCGACUUUCUCGAAAACAACAUGUCAAAGGGAGAAAUUUAUUCGACUUAUUUUUGUAUACACGUAGAGUGACGCCCUGUUUGUAUUCCAAGACACCCUAUAUACAAUGCUCCUAUGUUAAAACAUUGAAACCCUGAAUACGGUCACUUUAACCGCUCCUGCUUCCUUCUUUCUCAUUUCGAUUAUUCAUCAAUUUAUUCGACCUAUUUUUGUAUACACGUAGAGUGACACCCUGUUUGUAUUCCAAGACACCCUAUAUACAGUGCUCCUAUGUUAAAACAUUGAAACCCUGAAUACGGUCACUUUAACCACUCCUGCUUCCUUCUUUCUCAUUUCGAUUAUUCAUCAAUUCAUUCGACUUAUUUUUGUAUACACGUAGAGUGACACCCUGUUUGUAUUCCAAGACACCCUAUAUACAGUGCUCCUAUGUUAAAACAUUGAAACCCUGAAUACGGUCACUUUAACCGCUCCUACUUCCUUCUUUCUCAUUAUUCCACACAGUGGCUCCAAGGAAUACUUUAUACAUAUUCUUAUUUUCCAAGCAGCUGUUUUCUCUUAAUCAGGUUAUACAUUCCAGUUUCGUAGCGUUCACUUUUUCCAGUCAUUUACAUUUGUCCUUUACUGUCAUCACUUCAAUGAUAUUCCCUCCAAGUUCUAAAGUACGAAAUAGCUAUCUUCGAUCAAAUUCUUGCACAAAUUCAGAUGCUGAAGAUUCCACCGUAUUUUCAAUCUUCCUUGUGGGAUGAAAAAUUAUUAAUAUUAAAUGUAUGUUAGAAGAAACAUCACGUUAAGGUGAGCUUCUUAAAAAUCUAUAUCUGUUAUCUAUCUGUUAUUUGUUUUGUUUUGUUUUUCAGACGCUAACGCUAUGUUAGCUCGUUUACUGACACUAACCUGAAUUCGAGUUUGUUUAACUUUUUUUCCUAAUGUACAGUCAUCCACAUUUUGUUAUUUCGAAAGGCUCGAGAUUAUAUAGGGUGGGACAGAUAAAGCGUCACAAGCAGUUUUCUUAGAAGGCAUCGCAGAUAUUAAGUGGAAUUUUUCAGUUGUUAAAUGGUGCAGAGGGGCUAGCAUUUUAGACUGCAAGAUAUUGCGGGGGUGAGUUUCUUAAGGGUAGGAAGGAUGCUUUGAAUUUUAAGCUGAUAUCUGUAUGUGGCUAUGUACAAAACUCUUUUAUCAUUCUUCUUCACAAAUAGUAUUUUAUACUAAUAAAUAUAAUAAACAGUCACAUAUUUACUUAACACAAGCUAUUCUUAAUGUAAACAAAUUUUUAGUUUAAUAUAGGGGCAACAUACUGCAUGUAGCCUUUUUGAAGAAAUACAAUACAAAAGAUUUCUUAUGUCUUUAAAUUAAGACAUUUUUACGAAAAUAAUUUAUACAAAAUAUUGUAUAUUUAACAUUGCUAUUUUGAAAAAUAAAUUUUCACUUUUAAGAAACAAAUUUAAAUAAAGAACAGAAUUGUUUCUAAGAAAAUAAUAAUAUCCAUAGUAAACAAUAACACAAUAGAGAUAACACAACGUAAUGGACUGUUUUCUCUGCGAUAAAUAGAAAAUUAAAAAUUCCUAUUGUAUGAAGUAAGAUCUCUGCACAAUAAAUUGGAAGAAGAUAA
Bombus terrestris (buff-tailed bumblebee) is the source of this 3856-nucleotide long non-coding RNA. RefSeq lists it as uncharacterized. The record is from RefSeq and is a predicted model, not a curated record. NCBI's taxonomy places the organism in Eukaryota, Metazoa, Arthropoda, Insecta, Hymenoptera, Apidae. The transcript has 2 exons.